GAUGAACGCUGGCGGCGUGCCUAAUACAUGCAAGUCGAGCGAACGGACGAGAAGCUUGCUUCUCUGAUGCUAGCGGCGGACGGGUGAGUAACACGUGGAUAACCUACCUAUAAGACUGGGAUAACUUCGGGAAACCGGAGCUAAUACCGGAUGAUAUUUUGAACCGCAUGGUUCAAAAGUGAAAGACGGUCUUGCUGUCACUUAUAGAUGGAUCCGCGCCGCAUUAGCUAGUUGGUAAGGUAACGGCUUACCAAGGCAACGAUGCAUAGCCGACCUGAGAGGGUGAUCGGCCACACUGGAACUGAGACACGGUCCAGACUCCUACGGGAGGCAGCAGUAGGGAAUCUUCCGCAAUGGGCGAAAGCCUGACGGAGCAACGCCGCGUGAGUGAUGAAGGUCUUCGGAUCGUAAAACUCUGUUAUUAGGGAAGAACAUAUGUGUAAGUAACUGUGCACAUCUUGACGGUACCUAAUCAGAAAGCCACGGCUAACUACGUG
Molecule: ribosomal RNA, 497 nt
Filed under: uncultured bacterium
Lineage: Bacteria
Description: partial 16S ribosomal RNA
Rfam family: Bacterial small subunit ribosomal RNA
Source: RNAcentral